GGGGGUUUUUUUUGGAUCGAGGAGCUAGCUUCAAGCUUUUUUUAAGGUUACUAGUUCGGUUUCAUUGGAGGUUUUUGAAGAUCAAGGGGAUUGAAGAGGAGCUUCAUACUUCGGGUCGGAGAAGAAAAGAUGGAGAAUUGGAUUUUUCUUCUUCAUAGAGUUUUGAGAAGACUGAGGCAAUCGUUGCUGAAGUCAGUGUUGUAAUGGUGAAUCGGGAUUUUUUAAUGAAGUGGGUUUGAUUACUCUUGACUGUUUUGUGAAAUCGAGUUACGUCUGUGAUUGAAGGAUUAAAAGGGUGUCUAUAGGAUUGAGUAUGCGGAGUGAAUGAAAUUUAUUGGGUUAAUCUAACAAGAUAGUCAGUGGAUACAAGAUCGUAAGUACAAAGCGGUAUCG
RNAcentral lists this long non-coding RNA (393 nucleotides) under Physcomitrium patens. Its description in RNAcentral is "long non-coding RNA (PPAT_LNC002588)". Lineage: Eukaryota; Viridiplantae; Streptophyta; Bryopsida; Funariales; Funariaceae. The record is from RNAcentral.